GGCGCUAUAGUGUAGUGGUUAUCACUCGGGAUUCUGAUCUUUCUAUCGGAUAAUUUCCCGAAACCCAGGUUCGAACCCUGGUAGCGCCU
Coprinopsis marcescibilis is the source of this 89-nucleotide non-coding RNA. The record is from the annotation of a GenBank genome assembly. NCBI's taxonomy places the organism in Eukaryota, Fungi, Basidiomycota, Agaricomycetes, Agaricales, Psathyrellaceae.